This is a small nuclear RNA of Jaculus jaculus (lesser Egyptian jerboa), 104 nucleotides long. NCBI's taxonomy places the organism in Eukaryota, Metazoa, Chordata, Mammalia, Rodentia, Dipodidae. The record is from Ensembl.
GUGCUGGCCUUGGUAGCACCUAGGCUAAAAUUGGAACGACUCACAGGUUGGCAUGGCCCCUGCGCAAGGAUGACAUGUAAAUCCAUGAAGUAUUCCAUAUUUUA